AGGACAAACGCUGGCGGCGUACUUAAGACAUGCAAGUCGAACGGGCGCUUCACCUUCGGGUGGGUGUGCUAGUGGCGGACGGGUGAGUAACGCGUAGGAACCUGUCAUCAAGAGGGGGAUAACGCUGGGAAACCGGCGCUAAUACCGCAUGUGGUCAUGAAAAUGAAGAAAGCAGCAAUGCGCUUGAUGAGGGGCCUGCGUCCGAUUAGCUUGUUGGUGGGGUAAAGGCCUACCAAGGCAUCGAUCGGUAGCUGGUCUGAGAGGAUGGUCAGCCACACUGGGACUGAGACACGGCCCAGACUCCUACGGGAGGCAGCAGUUAGGAAAUUUUCCCAAUGGGCGCAAGCCUGAGGGAGUAACGCCGCGUGGAGGAUGACGGCUUUCGGGUUGUAAACUCCUUUUCUGUGGGAAGAGUAGAAGACGGUACCGCGAGGAAUAAGCCUCGGCUAACUACGCGCCAGCAGCCGC
RNAcentral lists this ribosomal RNA (468 nucleotides) under uncultured bacterium. RNAcentral's name for it is "SSU rRNA". It matches the Rfam family "Bacterial small subunit ribosomal RNA", at positions 26 to 518 of the family's 1533-position model. The record is from RNAcentral.